RNAcentral lists this ribosomal RNA (460 nucleotides) under uncultured bacterium. RNAcentral describes it as "partial 16S ribosomal RNA". It matches the Rfam family "Bacterial small subunit ribosomal RNA", at positions 338 to 795 of the family's 1533-position model. The record is from RNAcentral.
CCUACGGGCGGCUGCAGUGAGGAAUAUUGGUCAAUGGGCGCGAGCCUGAACCAGCCAAGUAGCGUGAAGGCUGACUGCCCUACGGGUUGUAAACUUCUUUUAUAAAGGAAUAAAGUGAGGCACGUGUGCCUUUUUUUAUGUACUUUAUGAAUAAGGCUCGGCUAACUCUGUGCCAGCAGCCGCGGUAAUACGGAGGAUCCGAGCGUUCUCCGGAUUUUUUGGGUUUAAGGGGAGCGUAGAUGGGUUGUUAAGUGGGUUGUGAAAGUUUGCGGCUCAACCGUAAAAUUGCAAUUGAUACUGGCAGUCUUGAGUACAGUUGAGGUAGGCGGAAUUCGUGGUGUAGCGGUGAAAUGCUUAGAUAUCACGAAGAACUCCGAUUGCGAAGGCAGCUUACUAAACUGCCACUGACAUUGAUGCUCGAAAGUGUGGGUAUCAAACAGGAUUAGAUACCCCGGUAGUC